CCAAGAUUUUAGACGUCAGUUUCUCCCAUCUUCUUUACCUAUUCCGCGCCUCCUUCACCCAAAAGAAAAAAACCCUAAGGCAGCUUAAACCUCAGCUAACAAACCCUUUUAAGUGUACCGCAAGAACUCCAACCAGCUUCAUCCUCCAGAGCGCCGACACCCAUUAAUGCCGGACUGCCAUCAUUUGUCGUCGCUUCACAUCGUGCGUGUCGUUGGCCAUUGCUCCGUGGAAGGUCGCCCCCCUCUUCGUCGUUUGGACUUCCUGGAUUUGUCGACAUCACAGCCUCCGUAGUCACCUGCAACGGCGUCUCUGUGUUCAUCGAUUAGCAAAUCCUCGUCAACGAUUAAUCAAAUGCCUAGAAAACCUCGCUACACCAUUAGUAGUGCAGCCGGAACUGGUGCUGCCCGUGAUUAUGAAACCCGAGCUACUUUGGAUGGAACGACGGAUAUGGGAGGUGAUACUUCAAGUGCACAACGGUGAAAUUCGAAGUAAGUUGGCAGAGUUUUGUGCAAAAAGGAGAAGAUUGGGAGCUGCCACUCUGGACGCUAAAUGCCCAACUGGAGUUUAGCACCAACAAACCCCACAAAACAACAAUUCCUCUGCCUCCUAUGGGCGCUAAAUGCCCAACUGGCGUUGGGCAUUUAGCGCCAGGCAAUCCAAAUUAAAGCCCACACUUUUAGAGCAUCUCUAGUGGAUUUAGCUUUUAUUAGUUAUCUUAUCUUUUAUUUUUGUAAUUUUUAUUUAAAAACAAUAUCUUUUAGUUUUAGGAUUUAUUAUUUUAUUUUAUUUUCAAAUCAAAUCAGGUUAGAUAUAAAAGGAAAAAAGAUUCACCCUUUAGGGGGAUCUUCUCUCUUCCACACUUUUCAGAACCCUUGUUUUCUCUGUAAGUCAUCAGUCACUAAACCUCUUGCUUAAGGUUACGAGCUCUAUUUAUUUCU
Molecule: non-coding RNA, 939 nt
Organism: Arachis ipaensis
Lineage: Eukaryota; Viridiplantae; Streptophyta; Magnoliopsida; Fabales; Fabaceae
Source: RefSeq, a predicted model, not a curated record